AACGAACGCUGGCGGCAUGCCUAGCACAUACAAGUCGAACGAGACCUUCGGGUCUAGUGGCGCACGGGUGCGUAACGCGUGGGAACCUGCCCUUAGGUUCGGAAUAACUCCCCGAAAGGGGUGCUAAUACCGGAUAAUGUCUUCGGACCAAAGAUUUAUCGCCUUUGGAUGGGCCCGCGUUGGAUUCGCUAGUUUGUAGGGUAAAAGCCUACCAAGGCGACGAUCCAUAGCUGGUCUGAGAGGAUGAUCAGCCACACUGGGACUGAGACACGGCCCAGACUCCUACGGGAGGCAGCAGUGGGGAAUAGUGGACAAUGGGCGAAAGCCUGAUCCAGCAAUGCCGCGUGAGUGAUGAAGGCAUUAGGGUUGUAAAGCUCUUUUACCCGGGAUGAUAAUGACAGUACCGGGAGAAUAAGCUCCGGCUAACUCCGUG
RNAcentral lists this ribosomal RNA (433 nucleotides) under uncultured bacterium. Its description in RNAcentral is "partial 16S ribosomal RNA". It matches the Rfam family "Bacterial small subunit ribosomal RNA", at positions 29 to 507 of the family's 1533-position model. The record is from RNAcentral.